Oncorhynchus nerka (sockeye salmon) is the source of this 1445-nucleotide long non-coding RNA. RefSeq lists it as uncharacterized. NCBI's taxonomy places the organism in Eukaryota, Metazoa, Chordata, Actinopteri, Salmoniformes, Salmonidae. The transcript has 2 exons. The record is from RefSeq and is a predicted model, not a curated record.
GGCGAGUGGAGAGGAAGAAAAAUAGAGACUGACUUCACAUUCUCCUCUACCUUGUCUGUUCUUCUUAUACCACAGCUGUCUGAAGAUCCGUCAUCACAGCCACUCAGUGUUAUGGUUAUCAUCAGCUUCCCCCUCAGGCUUUACUCAAGAUGCUGACCUGGCUGACCUGGCUACUAAGGUGCUAGGAUCUUCCCAGCUCCACAGUAAUCACACCCCUGAGUCAAUACAUGAUAGGAUCACCAUUGGCAGCGAUUACAGCUAUGAGUCUUUCUGGGUAAGUCUCUAAGAGCUUUGCAAACCUGGAUUUGCACAUUAUUCUUUAAAUAAUUCUUCAAGCUCUGUCAAUUUGGUUGUUGAUCAUUGCCAUUUCUAGACAGACAUUUUCAAGUAUUUCCAUAGAUUUUCACGCCGAUUUAAGUCAAAACUGUAUCUAAGCCACUCAGGAACAUUCAAUGUCGUCUUAGUAAGCAACUCCAGUGUAUUUUUGGCCUUGUGUUUUAGGUUAUUGUCCUGCUGAAAGGUGAAUUUGAACCAGGUUUCCUCUAGGACUUUGCCUGUUCUUAGCUAUAUUCUGUUUAUUUUUUGUUAAAAAAAACUCCCUAGUCCUGGCAGAUGACAAGCAUAGCCACAACAUGAUGCAGCCACCACCAAGCUUGAAAAUAUGAGGAGUGGGACUCAGUGUUGUGUUGUGUUGGAUUUGCUCCAAACAUAACACUCUGGAUUCAGGACAUGAAGUUCAUUUCUUUGCCACAAUUUUUUUCCAGUUUUACUUUAGUUCCUUAUUGUAAACAGGAUGCAAGUUUUGGAAUAUUUCUAUUCUUUACAGGCUUCCUUUUUUUCACUCUGUCAUUUAGAUUUGUAUUGUGGAGUAACUACAAUGUUAUUGAUCCAUCCUCAGUUCUCUCCUAUCACAGCCACUAAACUCUGUAACUGUUAUAAAGUCACCAUUGGCCUCAUGGUGAAAUCCCUGAGCGGCUUCCUUCCUCUCCGGCAACAGAGAUAGGAAGGACACCUGUGUCUUUGUAGAGACUGGGUGUGUUGAUACACCAUCCAAAGUGUAAACAACUUCACCAUGCUCCAAGGGAUAUUCAAUGUCUGCUUCUUUUUUUACCCAUUAGGUGCCCUUCUUUGCGAGGCGUUGGAAAACCUCCCACGUCUUUGUGGUUGAAUCGGUGUUUGAGAUUCACUGCUCGACUGAGGGACCUUACAGAUAAUUGUAUGUGUGAGGUACAGAGAUGAAGUUGUCAUUCUAAAUCAUGUUAAACACUAUUAUUGCACACAGAGUGAGUCCAUGCAACUUAUUAUGUGAAUUCUUAAGCACAUUUUAAAUCCUGAACUUGUUUAGACUUGCCAUAACAAGGGAGUUGAAUACUUAUUGACUCAAGACAUUUCCGUUUUUUUUAAUUGACUUUGUACAAAUUUCAAUAAAAAAAAUUCUACUUUGA